Molecule: unclassified non-coding RNA, 237 nt
Filed under: uncultured fungus
Lineage: Eukaryota; Fungi
Description: partial contains 5.8S ribosomal RNA, internal transcribed spacer 2, and large subunit ribosomal RNA
Source: RNAcentral
AACGCACAUUGCGCCCUUUGGCAUUCCGAAGGGCAUGCCCGUUCGAGCGUCAUUACACCCAUCAAGCCUGGCUUGGUAUUGGGCGCCGGGAGACCCCGCGCCUCUAAUUCACCGGCUGGACGGUUCGAAUCCUAGCGUUGUGGUCAAUCAAAUCGCUGGCGAGGACGACCGGACGCGCCGCUAAACCCCUCAUCACAGGUUGACCUCGGAUCGGGUAGGGAUACCCGCUGAACUUAA